UACGUAGGGGGCAAGCGUUGUCCGGAUUUAUUGGGCGUAAAGAGCGUGUAGGCGGUCAGGUAGGCCGGUUGUGAAAACUGGAGGCUCAACCUUCAGAGGUCGACCGAAACCCCCUGGCUAGAGUCCGGGAGAGGAGAGUGGAAUUCCUGGUGUAGCGGUGAAAUGCGCAGAUAUCAGGAAGAACACCCGUGGCGAAAGCGGCUCUCUGGAACGGUACUGACGCUGAGACGCGAAAGCGUGGGGAGCGAACAGG
RNAcentral lists this ribosomal RNA (253 nucleotides) under uncultured bacterium. Its description in RNAcentral is "partial 16S ribosomal RNA". It matches the Rfam family "Bacterial small subunit ribosomal RNA", at positions 524 to 776 of the family's 1533-position model. The record is from RNAcentral.